UUCUAGGCUGGAUUCGACACUUGAAAAGGCGAAACAUAUAUUGAUACCGAAGUGACCCGAAGCUCCAGGAGCGAAGCGAACGGAUAAACCAGAAAGAGUCUCCUUCUGUAAAAGGAACAACAACAACCUCUUGCCCUAGAUUCAGCUGCUGAAGGAUCUGCAUCUCUUGUUUCGGAAGAAACUGGACGAUCGGCUUAAGAUUCGAAAGAAACUGGAUCCGUUAGUUCAGGGAAAACUGUAGCUCUUGAUUCAGGAUAAGGAAAAACAGGAUAUGUUGUUUCGAGAAAAACUAGAACCGUUGGUGCGGCUGAUGCUGAUGUUGAUGCGUCUGUAUCCGCGCCUGUUUAUGCGCCUGUUUCGAGUUCAUAUUUGGCUUCAGAUGGUGGAGAAACAGGAUUUGUUGGUUCGGUAGAAACUGGAUGAUCUCUUGUUUCGGGAGGAGAUACUGAUACGUCGUCUGAUGCUGAGGGAUCGGGAUCUGUUAGUUCGGGAGGAAAAACUAGAUAUGUUAGUUUGGCGGAUGCUGGUUUGGAUGCGUCUUCGGAUGUUUAUUCGGCGAGAUCAAAUGCAGAUGUGUCUGCUUUAUCAUACUUUGGAAGUUCAAUUGAAUGCCUUUGCUUCAAAGCCCACCUCCCUCUUCCGAACCUUUAGGCUCAAGGGGCUUAUUCGAGCCUAACCGAACCGCCGAUCUAUCUCCUUGUCCGCCCACCCUUCCCUAAAUAAGGGUAAAAAAAUAAGAGGGUUUAUUCAAAAGCACGAAAAGCGAGCAAGCGACUCCUUAAUACGCCUUCGGCUUAGAGAAUGCUACCGAUUAAUUCACCUAAAGAAGCAGCCUUCCACUUCAGAACUCCCAAGGGACCUGCCCUAAGCUAGCUAGCAGACUAAUCGCAUAUGUUUUUAGCUACUUUUUCAAAAAAAGAGUCAAAUCAUGCCCUACAACAAGGGCCAAAAAAGAUCGGUUUUACUAAAAAGCUAUAAAAAGCUGGCAUGGCAAGGAGGACAAAGAAAGGACUCGGUUCGUAUCGGGUAAUUCCAUUGAUCCCUCGAUUCGGAUCGGGUAAUCCCAUUGAUCUCUCGGCUCGGAUAAGGCUCUUGGUCUUAUAGUCUUAAGCUAGCUAAGGGUUCGGUUACUGCGGGGGCUAUUCAUUCCCGCUUCAAACUAGCCUGCCUAAAGGCCAAAGCAAGAGGCUGGCAGGGGGCGCGAAAAGAAAGUCAAUUCAAGGUUUUAUCCUAUAUAUACUUUGAUUUCUCGGUACAGUUGCUUCUAUAGGUGUCAAACCAACAGAAUGAGACCCAGUACCCGAAACUUUCUAUUCUAAGACCGCGUUGUUCAUUGUGAUUGGUCUAGGGUACGUAUGGUCGAACUUUUCUUGAGUGAAGUUCUCGCUGCCCUCCCCUCUUGUUGGCCGAAAGCUACAGGACACGGACAUCUUCCUUCCACACCGGCCUCGCUUCCUUCCCCACCAGCUGCUCUAUGCUCCGAUUCUGUAGUGUAAUAAAAAGGUGGGUAAUCGAAUCGAAUCGAAUGAAAGGUCUGAUUGGGGCAAAUCUUCUCAUCCAAUGCCCUUUCUAUCUCCCAGCCAGCAAGAUUUCAUGCAUCAAUAAAGAAUUCCCACCCAAGAAUGAAUAUAAGGGGCGAUUAACUGGAUUUCUGUAACUGUGUAACUCUAAUUUCCGUGACCGUAUAUUAUUACUUCCCCCCCUCCACCGGGUCGGGUAAACUGCGGAUUGAUUUCAUCGGUUGAUUGAAAUGUGUAACUUGAAUUCCUUGUAUAAGUGCCCCACUACAAUUAAUUAGAGAUAGAUAGCUUUGCGUGUGCCCGUGUACAAUGAAUUCAUCGGGGAGGUGUGUCCGUAUACAAUGAAUUAGGGAAUGGCUGCUUUGCCCAAUCUAUCUAUUUCAAGCUGACCCCAACCUUGCAUUCCAGAGCUUAGCGUUUUUUAGUGGCAUGAUUAUUUCCCGCCCUUUAUUCUAUGAAGCAACCCACCCCUAUUAUUAUUGAAGAUCGACCGAUAUUAUUGAAGAGCUACACUCCACUUCUUGAAUCGAUCUCAGCCGGCAUUUCGAUCUAAUAUUCAAUAGCUUCAUUCCCAACCUUCUAUUCCCGUUUCGUAGGGCAUUCGAUCGAUUAUUCAUUUAGGUGGUAGGCGGUUUCGAACCUAUCUCUGCACCCUUCCCUUUCUUCAAUCUGAUUCGCUUUCUAUUCCGAAUUUCAUGCAUCAAUAAAGAAUUUCCCAUCCAAGAAUGAAUAUACGGGGCGGAAGUGCACUCACACCUUCAAUGAUAUAGGGUUGAGGGGCUGAAACAAUAAUAGUGGGCUGUCUAGACCGGCAUCAAUUUGAACUAGCAAGUGCUGCCUAAUCUCCGGAGUCACUCUCAACCCUGGUAUUUGAUGGUGGAAGUAAAGCGGAGGAAUCCUCGACUCUAAAUCUGACUUGUGGAUCGCUAGCAAUGGAAUCUCGCAACCCUUUAAAUGGAAUAUCGCAACCCUAAUCGCAACCCUAGUGGACUUGAAGCAGAUUCCAGCUCUUUCUCUUCCUCGCCCGUCAAUCUAAUAAUAUCGAAUCGAAUGGUCCCUUGGUUUAUGAGAUAGAUGAGUUACGACCCGGUGCCCAAGUCAUACCACUUGUGUGCAUAAGCCAGCCCACUGGAUUCGGAGGUUCUGGAAUGAGGGAAAGGAGAAGCUUACUAAUGAAGAAGGUCGAACUUCCAUAAUUCUAAUAAGGGCGGGCCUUACUAUUUCUCCAAAGCUCCUCUCAAGCAUCGAUUCAUAUUACGUAUGUAAGUCGUUGGAAGGGGAGCGCUUUGAUAAUAAUAGGGCUGGCUGCCAAUAGUAGUAGCCUCCAGAGACGCGGUAGAAACAACUUCCCUUCCAUAAGCAGACUGCAGCGCAUCAAUGAAAGCUCGAUAAUCCAACCCACGUAACUUAAGAGUGCAUAUUCGAAUGUGCUCUCCUGCUCAUUCAUCGGCUCCAUCGGCAACACACUUUGAGAGCGAUCUCGCUCCUCUCCCGCCAUCCCACUUCAUAUGGUGCUUCCAACUCCAUCCGUCCCCCAGGCCUUUUCUUCCUAAUAGCGGGAAUCCUAUGCCCUACUAUUAUGAUCGAUAAAGUGACACAUCUCCCAAAUUCCAUUGUGGUGGAACAGAAUAGAAACAUUCUUCUCUAGGCGAAUGUGUUAGAAACACCUAUUCAAACCCUCUUAUAGACGUAUUAACGACCCUACUAUUACUGGAGCAUUCUAUGAUGGGGUUCCCGCCCACCCGGAAUCAAUAAUCAUCAAACCUACUAUUACUAUCGGAUCUCAUAUACUUGGGUUAUAGCUACUCAAAGGGAUGGGGAAUAGAAUUCUCUAGUGAAGGGAAGGGGUGGGGUAGACUCGCCAAUAGAUUCUAUUCUCGUACUCGGGGUGACUGCAAACCAAUCUGAAUAAUAGGAGGAGGAGUUGGGGGGCGGGAAUGAGAUUGGACAUGAAGAAAUGGGGCGGGAUAGUCCUUCAUAUGAGAGAUGAGGGGGAAUGAUCGAAUCAAUUGGAUGAAGCGGAUUGGUUGAUCAAGAGGAAGUGAUACAUCGCCUACUAUUUGAGAAAUACUAAUAAUAUGGGGAAAGAGGAAUUGAAGCGCUAGCAAUAGUAAUGAAUAAGGCGGGAGCCUCCAUUCGAAUAGUUUCUCGGGGGAAUUCUAUCUCUACUGCCCCACUCCUAUCAAUAUAAGGGGGGGCAAUCCACUAUUCAACAGUAGGUUGUUGAUACAUAUCUAAUAGAGGUGGAAGUUUCUAUUUAAUAAUAGUAGGGCCAACCUCAAGUAAUAGUAAUUUCUCUCUUGCCGCAGGUUGCUAAUACAUAUGUGAUCUCUUCCACUUCAAGAUUAGUCCCCCGGCAAUGCAUGGUAGGGCCUAGACAAAAGGCACAUAUCCUUGACCCUGGAUCCUUAGCAACCUCCCCAAUGGCAAUAAUGAGAAA
Molecule: long non-coding RNA, 3960 nt
Filed under: Amborella trichopoda
Lineage: Eukaryota; Viridiplantae; Streptophyta; Magnoliopsida; Amborellales; Amborellaceae
Description: long non-coding RNA (ATRI_LNC000019)
Source: RNAcentral